GUACACUCCUGCGGGAGGCAGCAGUGGGGAAUAUUGGACAAUGGGCGCAAGCCUGAUCCAGCCAUGCCGCGUGAGUGAUGAAGGCCCUAGGGUUGUAAAGCUCUUUCACCGGUGAAGAUAAUGACGGUAACCGGAGAAGAAGCCCCGGCUAACUUCGUGCCAGCAGCCGCGGUAAUACGAAGGGGGCUAGCGUUGUUCGGAUUUACUGGGCGUAAAGCGCACGUAGGCGGACUAUUAAGUCAGGGGUGAAAUCCCGGGGCUCAACCCCGGAACUGCCUUUGAUACUGGUAGUCUUGAGUUCGAGAGAGGUGAGUGGAAUUCCGAGUGUAGAGGUGAAAUUCGUAGAUAUUCGGAGGAACACCAGUGGCGAAGGCGGCUCACUGGCUCGAUACUGACGCUGAGGUGCGAAAGCGUGGGGAGCAAACAGGAUUAGAAACCCCAGUAGUCCC
Molecule: ribosomal RNA, 449 nt
Filed under: uncultured organism
Description: partial 16S ribosomal RNA
Rfam family: Bacterial small subunit ribosomal RNA
Source: RNAcentral